AAUAUACAUGAAGAUGUGAAAAA
This 23-nucleotide small nuclear RNA is filed under the name Arabidopsis thaliana (thale cress). RNAcentral describes it as "snRNA_04803". Lineage: Eukaryota; Viridiplantae; Streptophyta; Magnoliopsida; Brassicales; Brassicaceae. The record is from RNAcentral.